CGAAUGCACAUCAAGAAAUCAAAAUAGAAUAGAGUUUUCAAAGGUUGAAUCCUUGCAAUUUCCUCUUUGUUUUCUCUUACUUAUUUGUUUUAUCUUAUUUUAUUUUAUAUUUUUUUUCUUUUGCAAAUCUAUUUCAAAUAACUAAAAAUCAAAAAGCAAAAAUAAAGGGGAGGGGAACUCACCGGGUGGCCGUGGUUGCGCCGUCAGAGGAUCUCUCCUCCGUCGCCCGAAUCGGGUCCAAGAGGUCGUG
RNAcentral lists this long non-coding RNA (250 nucleotides) under Gossypium barbadense (sea-island cotton). Its description in RNAcentral is "long non-coding RNA (GBAR_LNC021448)". The record is from RNAcentral. Lineage: Eukaryota; Viridiplantae; Streptophyta; Magnoliopsida; Malvales; Malvaceae.